Molecule: non-coding RNA, 241 nt
Organism: Pelobates cultripes (western spadefoot toad)
Lineage: Eukaryota; Metazoa; Chordata; Amphibia; Anura; Pelobatidae
Source: the annotation of a GenBank genome assembly
AGGGGCUCUUCUAUUAAACGUAGGCUGUGUCAUGGGUGGUACCGGGUUAGGUCUGGGGUUGGCUACAGGACCUGGCGUUGGUGCGCUGUACCUUACCAGAGGACGGUUCCCACCCGCUUCUCCUUUUCUUCCCUCAUGAUGCUCAUCCGCUAGCUUUGCUGCUUCCUCGACUGUGGACAGCUUCCUGUCUCUGACCUAGUCCCUGGUAUAUGCAGGAGUGUGGUCAAAAAAUUGUUCUAGC